RNAcentral lists this long non-coding RNA (241 nucleotides) under Elaeis guineensis (African oil palm). RNAcentral's name for it is "long non-coding RNA (EGUI_LNC034996)". The record is from RNAcentral. Lineage: Eukaryota; Viridiplantae; Streptophyta; Magnoliopsida; Arecales; Arecaceae.
UUUUAUUACUCUUUUGGAUGAUAUAAAAAUUGAGUUGACACUAUUAUAAAAAUAAGUAUCAUUAUUUAUAGAAAAUUGGUUAUGGUAAAAUCAUGAAAAAAUUCUCCAGUUAGACUAUGAUCUGAGUCAAGCCAACGGGACUGAUUGUUAGCCACACAUCAGAAAUAUAUUUCUUUUGAGCCUAGCUAGUCGGGACUGAUCACUGGUAGAGUUAGUCUUUCUGGGCCUAGCCAGUCAGGAC